UACAGAGGCCUCGAGCGUUAUGCGGAAUCACUGGGCUUAAAGCGUGUGUAGGUGGAUGCCUAAGUACCUUGUGAAAUCCCACGGCUUAACCGUGGAACUGCUGGGUAUACUGGGUGUCUUGAGCCACUCAGGGGCUACCGGAACAAACGGUGGAGCGGUGAAAUGCGUAGAUAUCGUUUGGAACGCCAAUGGUGAAAACAGGUAGCUGGGGGUGUGCUGACACUGAGACACGAAAGCCAGGGGAGCAAACGGG
Molecule: ribosomal RNA, 253 nt
Filed under: uncultured bacterium
Lineage: Bacteria
Description: partial 16S ribosomal RNA
Rfam family: Bacterial small subunit ribosomal RNA
Source: RNAcentral